UGCCAAACAUGCAGUGGUUACUAUGGCAGUGGAAAGGAAAGUUAAACACACACACACACACACACACACACACACCAAAGUAGAGGCACGCCUUUAUCCAGAUGUGCAGCCGGGAGCAGAGAGAAAAGCAGUUAACCUACCCAGUGGGGCCUGCAGGAAGGAGGAAGACACCUCACUUUUCUGAAUCCACCACCAAAGAAGAGUUGGGAGAAGGCUCAUUCGGUAAAUCUCUUACUGUGCUAGCAUGUGGACCUGAGUUUGAUUCCCAGCGCCCGUGUGAGAAUCUGGGCACAAUGUCACACGCGGGAUUCCAGUGCAGAGGAGGCAGAAGCAGAUGGAUUCCUGAGGUUGACUGGACACUCAGUCUGUCCGCACUGGAGAACUUGAGGCCAGAGAGAGAUCCUGUCUCAUACCUCAAAAAGGAAUGACACCUGAGGAAUGACACCCCAGGCAGGGUCACUUAUUGAAUGACUUCUGACCUCCACACACAUAUAUGCACAUGUGUCUACAUAAAUAAACAUAGACACACACUGA
This is a long non-coding RNA of Mastomys coucha (southern multimammate mouse), 534 nucleotides long. RefSeq lists it as uncharacterized. NCBI's taxonomy places the organism in Eukaryota, Metazoa, Chordata, Mammalia, Rodentia, Muridae. The record is from RefSeq and is a predicted model, not a curated record. The transcript has 2 exons.